GACGAACGCUGGCGGCAUGCCUAACACAUGCAAGUCGAGCGAGCAGAUCCCUUCGGGGUGAAGCUAGCGGCGGACGGGUGAGUAACACGUGGGCAACCUGCCUCAUAGAGGGGAAUAGCCUUCCGAAAGGAAGAUUAAUACCGCAUAAGAUUGUAGCUUCGCAUGAAGUAGCAAUUAAAGGAGCAAUCCACUAUGAGAUGGGCCCGCGGCGCAUUAGCUAGUUGGUGAGGUAACGGCUCACCAAGGCGACGAUGCGUAGCCGACCUGAGAGGGUGAUCGGCCACAUUGGGACUGAGACACGGCCCAAACUCCUACGGGAGGCAGCAGUGGGGAAUAUUGCACAAUGGGGGAAACCCUGAUGCAGCAAUGCCGCGUGAGUGAUGACGGCCUUCGGGUUGUAAAGCUCUGUCUUCGGGGACGAUAAUGACGGUACCCGAGGAGGAAGCCACAGCUAACUACGUGCCAGCCGCCGCAGUAA
RNAcentral lists this ribosomal RNA (478 nucleotides) under uncultured bacterium. Its description in RNAcentral is "partial 16S ribosomal RNA". It matches the Rfam family "Bacterial small subunit ribosomal RNA", at positions 28 to 523 of the family's 1533-position model. The record is from RNAcentral.